GGCCGAAUGGUCUAGUGGUAUGAUUCUUGCUUUGGGAUUGCAUAUGCUCAACUGCAAGAGGCCCCGGGUUCGAAUCCCGGUUCGGCCC
This is a non-coding RNA of Conoideocrella luteorostrata, 88 nucleotides long. The record is from the annotation of a GenBank genome assembly. NCBI's taxonomy places the organism in Eukaryota, Fungi, Ascomycota, Sordariomycetes, Hypocreales, Clavicipitaceae.